Molecule: ribosomal RNA, 465 nt
Filed under: uncultured bacterium
Lineage: Bacteria
Description: partial 16S ribosomal RNA
Rfam family: Bacterial small subunit ribosomal RNA
Source: RNAcentral
CCUACGGGAGGUAGCAGUGGGGAAUAUUGCGCAAUGGGCGAAAGCCUGACGCAGCGAAGCCGCGUGAGGGAUGAAGGUCUUCGGAUCGUAAACCCCUGUCAGCAGGGAAGAACGGUCACUGUGCUAAUCAGCAGUGAAUUGACGGUACCUGAAACGGAAGCACAGGCUAACUCCGUGCCAGCAGCCGCGGUAAUACGGAGGGUGCGAGCGUUAAUCGGAAUUACUGGGAGUAAAGCGAUCGUAGGCGGUAUGUCAAGUCAAGGGUGAAAUCCCCGCGCACAACGUGGGAACUGCCUUUGAAACUGGCAAACUGGAGUGUGUGAGAGGAUAGUGGAAUGCCAGGUGUAGGAGUGAAAUCCGUAGAUAUCUGGAGGAACAUCAGUUGCGAAGGCGACUAUCUGGCACAUAACUGACGCUGAGGAGCGAAAGCGUGGGUAGCAAACAGGAUUAGAUACCCUGGUAGUC